Molecule: long non-coding RNA, 189 nt
Filed under: Struthio camelus australis
Lineage: Eukaryota; Metazoa; Chordata; Aves; Struthioniformes; Struthionidae
Description: lncRNA (ENSSCUG00000000234.1)
Source: RNAcentral
CUGCGGGGUGGGGGCGGGCGGGGGCGGGAGCCGUGAGCCCGGCUGCCGCGAGGGACAGGGCCGAAGGACUGGCGGUGGCGAUACCCGAGGACGUGGGUCUGCACGUGCGUGUGGUUUGCCUGCAAGGAAUGAAAAUGACCCGGUGUAGCCAUCACCGGUUGCCUGGCGCGCAGGGGCUGGGGUAGGAGG